RNAcentral lists this ribosomal RNA (253 nucleotides) under uncultured bacterium. RNAcentral's name for it is "partial 16S ribosomal RNA". It matches the Rfam family "Bacterial small subunit ribosomal RNA", at positions 524 to 776 of the family's 1533-position model. The record is from RNAcentral.
UACGGAGGGUGCAAACGUUGUUCGGAAUCACUGGGCGUAAAGCGCGUGUAGGCGGCACGUUAAGUCAGGUGUGAAAGCCCUCGGCUCAACCGAGGAAGUGCACUUGAAACUGGCGAGCUAGAGUACGGGAGAGGGUGGUAGAAUUCCAGGUGUAGAGGUGAAAUUCGUAGAGAUCUGGAGGAAUAUCGGUGGCGAAGGCGGCUACCUGGACCGAUACUGACGCUGAGACGCGAAAGCGUGGGGAGCAAACAGG